CAGGCCUCGGCCCCAGCCCCGCGCACGCGCCGGGACCCGGCGAGGGGGGCGGAGGCGGGGAGCGCCCCCCUGUGCUCGCGCGCCUCCUGCCUGCGUCCCCGCGGACCCCCAGCCGACGCAAGGUUGGGGCCUCCAGAUAACAACUGUACUUCACACCAAGCACAGUGCCUGGCAAUAGCAGAUGUUGAAUGAACGAAUGUGUAUGUCUCUGCAGGAGCAGAGGUUUGUUCCACAUGGACGUCUUCAGGACAUUCUAGGUUUCCUCUUAUGCCCGUCUGACCUGUGGGAGACUGGGGUGGGCAAGUCUCCCAUCCUUUCGUACCUAGACGUGCCACACCAGCCUUCCUGUUCUGUUGCUUCAAGGUGACAUGAGGCACUUCUCCCCACAGCUUGCUGGCCUGCUAUCUCCCGGUGUCAGGCUGUGGCCCAGGAAGAUGGCAUGAGAACGUCUUCUCUCAGGACCCUCCAGCUCGCUCUACGGAAAGCCAGCUGCCAUGUUGUGAGGACAUUGAAGCAGGCCUGUGGAGAGGCCCACCUGAUCAGGAACGGAUGACUCCUUCGGACGUCAAGCAAAGAACGGAGACCUUUCUGUCACUAGUCAUGUGAAUGAUCUACUACCUGGGCCGCAAGUCAACCAGCCCCAGUCAAGCCCUCAGAUGACUGCAGCCCUGGUUAAUGCCUUGACUGCAACCUCCUGAAAGACCCUUAGCCAGAACCACCCUGUGAGUUGCUCCCAAAUUCCCGACCCACAGAAACACAGUGUUUCAUAAUGAGACAAUGUUUGCUGUUUAAGCUCCUAAAUUUUGAG
Ailuropoda melanoleuca (giant panda) is the source of this 808-nucleotide long non-coding RNA. RefSeq lists it as uncharacterized. The transcript has 4 exons. The record is from RefSeq and is a predicted model, not a curated record. Lineage: Eukaryota; Metazoa; Chordata; Mammalia; Carnivora; Ursidae.